RNA transcript from Orcinus orca (killer whale), 8179 nucleotides. It is a transcript of the gene named centromere protein L, with no coding region annotated. The transcript has 9 exons. The record is from RefSeq and is a predicted model, not a curated record. NCBI's taxonomy places the organism in Eukaryota, Metazoa, Chordata, Mammalia, Artiodactyla, Delphinidae.
ACCCCACGAACAACCAAGAUUACGGUGGAGGGAGUCAACCAAUCAGAACAGAGGGAGUGCCGCCAUCUUUACUACGGGCGGAAGUUUGAAGGACCGCUGAGCACCGGUAGAAAAGCGCGGAAGAUGAACACCCCGCGAUUAGGAAAGUAGACUUUAAUGGUUAGAGCGCUCCCGUGCCCUCAGUUAAAAUGGCAACCUUAGUUGCUUCACUGACUUGGAAUCGGCGCCAUGGAGGCGUCCAGCGUCCUGCCGCAGAGCGAGUCGGGAAACGAUUUUAAACUGAGGAGGCGGCUGAACGCAAAGUUGCUGCUUCUCAACGGCGGGAUUUUUGGAGCCGGCGUUGGCCCCUGAGGCCUCAGGUGGAGAGGGGCGCGUUGGGACACACUGUCCCUUGCCCUUUCCCUCCGUGGGCUGAAGCAGACUCCGCAGGAGCGAGGGUCGCGGAGCUGGUGGCUGAGUCAGCGGAAAUGUCCUUCCCGGCGUGAAGUGUCGGGCUCGGCUGGCGCCUGCGGGAGCGGAGGUCUCCUUACUGGGCCCGUUUGCGUCCGUCGUGAACCCAGCUGUGGUGGAGCGAGAGGGAAUUUGGGAGCGCCAGGGUUUCCUCCGGACUUAACCCUUCGCUGUCAUUUUGGCGGCUGUUUUACUUCAGGGGAUUUCAGUUUCGACGUAGUUUUGGAUCCAGACUUGAAGAAUGAUUCGUGAAGGGAAUGGUUGACAGCGUCAUCACGGCAUUUUAUUGACCAUGGAUUCUUAUGAUGCACCAGAAUCGACUCCUAGACAGUGUGCAUCCUCAAGGCUUAAAGAUUACUUUAUAGGUGCCACCCCUCUGCAAAAACGAUUAGAAUCAGUCAGGAAGCAGACUUCAUUUAUCCCGACUCCACCUCGAAGGAAAAUUCCCCAGUGUUCACAACUUCAGGAAGAUGUUGAUCCUCAAAAGUUUGCAUUCCUUCUGCAUAAACAAUGGACUUUAUAUAGUUUAACUCCCUUAUAUAAAUUCUCCUAUACUAAUUUCAAAGAGUAUUCUAAACUUCUGAAUGCAUUUAUUGCUGCUGAAAAGCAAAAAGGACUUGCUGUGGAAGUGGGAGACGACUUCAACAUCAAAGUGAUUUUCUCUACUCUCCUGGGAAUGAAAGGAACACAGAGAGACCCUGAAGCAUUUCUUGUCCAGAUUCUGUCAAAAUCUCAAUUGCCAUCUGAGCACAGAGAAGGUAAAGUGUUGUGGACUGGUUGGUUCUGCUGUAUAUUUGGAGACAGUCUUCUGGAGACUGUUUCAGAAGAUUUCACCUGUCUACCCUUAUUCCUUGCAAAUGGUGCAGAGACUAAUACAGCCAUAAUUGGAACCUGGUUUCAGAAAACUUUUGACUGUUAUUUCCGUCCCUUAGCAAUCAAUGCGUUUAAUCUUUCUUGGAUGGCUGCUAUGUGGACUGCAUGCAAAAUGGACCAUUAUAUGGCUACUACUGAAUUUCUUUGGUCUGUACCCUGUAGCCCUCAAAGUCUGGAUAUUUCUUAUGCCAUACAUCCAGAAGAUGCAAAAGCUUUGUGGGACAGUGUUCAUAAAACACCUGGGGAAGUUACCCAGGAGGAAGUUGACUUAUUCAUGGACUGCCUGUAUUCACAUUUCCAUAGACAUUUCAAAAUUCAUUUAUCAGCCACAAGAUUGGUUCGUGUUUCAACAUCUGUAGCUUCAGCACAUACUGAUGGAAAAAUAAAGAUUUUGUGUCAUAAAUACCUUAUUGGAGUGUUGGCAUAUUUGACAGAACUGGCAAUUUUUCAAAUUGAGUGAGGCCUUGUGGGGACUAUAAGUUAUGGAUUAUAUACCUUUUUCUCAUUGACUAUCUGCCUAAUUGCUAUGCUGAGGGGGACUGCAGGAGAAAUGGGCAUCUGUACAUCUGUUUUCCUCACAGUGCCUUGGAGUUACCCAGAUGAAAGCCAAGAAGGAUCUAGAAGAACAAAGAAGGUGGUAGUGGAUGAACCACAGCCAGGGUCGUGGGUUCGAUCCCUGGUGAGGGAACGAAGAUCCCACAUGCCAUGUGGCCAAAAUAAUAGUAAGUAAAUAAAUAAAAUUAAAUUAAAAAAAAAGACUGUGCAGCAGAGACUUCUUCCAUCGUGAUAAGUCUCCCAAUUUCUGGCUGGGCGUGUGGUUGCCCAGAAUAAAGAUGACAUUUUCUAGCAUUUCUCAUAGGUAGGUACAGUCAUAUGACUAAGUUCUGACCCAAUGGCAUAAAAAUGCCAGUGUCAUGUAGAGCUUCUAGAAAUCUUGUUAGUAAACAGUAGGCCUUUACCCCUUGCCCUUAUUCUUCUUCCAAUUUUGCUGUUUGGAACACAUAAAAUGACUGGUACUCUAGUUGCUCUUUUAGGUCACUGGGAUAAGGGUCAGGUCCUAGGGACAGCAGAGCAUGGCCUGGAAGGAGUUUGUGCCCUGAGGACUUCUUGAAGCUGAACUCCAGUGCCAACCGGGAUGUUCUUCCUCCAGACUUAUGUAUCAGAGAUGUAAACUUCUAUCUUGUUUAAGCUAUUGUUACUUUGGUUCUCUUGCUCAUAGUCAAACCUAAUGCUAACUGAUACAGAGAGGAAGAAUCCACAUCAUCUAAGUUUUUACAGGUACUAUGAAGAGACUGGAUUUUAUUCUAAAUGCAAUGGGGAACCACUGAAGUUUUAUGCAGAAGAGUUAUAUGAUCCAAUUUGUAUCUUACAAGAUUUUAUAAGAUAUCAUGGAGAAUGAGUUGUAGAUGGACAAGAGUGGAAAAGGGAAAACAGGUAAAAUGUUGUUAGAAAUGGUACAACCUUAUGGAGAAGUUAGCAAUAUCUAACAAAAUUAUGUGUGAUUUACCCUUUGACUAGUAAUCCCACUUCUGGGAUUCUAUCCCCAAAAUUCACUAGCAAAAAUAUAAAGUGAAGCAGAAACGAGGCUAUUUAUUCCAACAGUAUUUGUAAUAGCAAGACUAAAAACAAUCCAAAUGCUCAUCAGAGAGGGAUUGGUUGAAUAAAUUAUGGUAUAGCUGCACAGUGAACUACUACUGUGUAAUUAUAAAAGGGUUUGAGGAAGAUAUAUAAUAUUGCCAUGGAGUUCUCUCUAGGAUAUAUUGUUAUGUGAAAGAGCAAGAUGAGGAUAGAGUGUAUAGUAUGCUAUCUUUUAUGGAAGGAAUGGGGGUGGAAUAUGAGUAUGUGUGUAUAUUUCCCUACAAAAACAAUGGAAGGAUAAACCAAAAACUAGUAAAAGUGAUUGCUAAUGGAAUGAUGGGAACCAACUGUGUAGAGGGGACAGGAAUGAAAGUUAGGACUCAUCUGAAUGUUCCUUGUUUAUAGUUUGGAACCAUAUAAGUGUUUUAUGUAAUUAUGAAACAAAAUUAGAUCAAAAAGAAAAAGCAAUCCUUAAAAACUGAAAACAAAUGAACCUAACUAUAUUAUGUUCAGACCAUUAUCACACAAAGAAUCGUUUUUAGUAUCUCUAAAUCCUUGUAUUUUGACUGUAUAUCAUCAGUGGGCUAUAUCCUAGGAAAAGAAGAGCAGCAAAGGAAUCUUAAAUUGCAUUAAGUUAUCUUAUUUUUAAUAAUAUUGGUAUUGUUAUUUUACCACUUUUCAUAACAGGAUAAAAUAUAUGUGACUAUAACAAUGUUAGAAACCAAGAUUUCUAACAUUGUAAGAGAAAAAUACAAUUAUAAAAUCAAGUAAGUUAAGUAGAAACUCUGUAAUAUUAACUUUGAAUUGGAAAUAUCGGAAUGAACUCAUUUAUUUUUGAAAUGCAAAUUUUAAUUUUGAUGAAGCCCAAUCUGUCAAAUUUUUCCUUUUGUUUCUUGUACUUUGGGUGUUGUAUCUAAGAAAUCAUUGCUUAGUUCAAGGUCCUGAAGAUUUACUCCUGUGUUUUCUUCUAAGCAUUUUAUAAUUUUAGCUCUUAAAUUUAGAUCUGUAAUCCAUUUUGAGUUAAUUUUUAUGUAUGGUGUGAGGUAAGCAUUCAGAUUCAUCAUUUUGCAUACAGAUAUUCAUUUGUUCCAGCAUCAUUUACUGAAAAGGCUGUCUUUUUCCCAUUGAAUUGUCUGUUACCUUUCUUAAAAAUCAGUGGCCAUAGAUGUUUGGGUUUAUUUCUGGACUCAAUUCUAUUUCAUUGAUCUAAAUGUCAGUCCUUACACCAGUACCACACUGUCUUGCUUACUGUAGCUUUGUACUGUGUUUUGAAAUCAGGAAGGUGAGUCUUUCAGCUUUGUCCUUUUUUCAAGAUUGUUUUGACUCUUCUUGAUUUUUUGCAUUUUCAUAAGAAUUUUAGGAUCAGUUGGUCAAUCUUUGUAAAAAAGCUGGGAUUUUGAUAGUGAUUGCCUUGAAUCUGUAGAUCAAUUUAGAGAGUAUUGCCCUCAUAAUGAUAUUAAGUCUUCCAAUCUAUGAAUGUGUGAUAUCUUUCCAUUUAUUUAAAUCUUUCAAAAUUUUCUUCAACAAUGUUUUAUUGUUUUCAGUGUCCAAGUUUUGCACUUUCUUUUGUUAAGUUUAUUUCUGAAUUGUUUUUUAUGCUAUUGAGAAUGGAAUUGUUUCCUUAAUUUCAUUUUUGGAUUGUUUGUUGCUAGUGUAUAGAAAUAUAAUUGAUUUUGUAUAUUGCUCUCGUAUUCUAUGAUCUUGCUGAACUUGUUUAUUCUAGUAGCUUUUUCAGUGAAUGCUGUCAGAUAUUCUAUAUAUAAGAUUCAUGCCAUUGAAAAAAGACAGUUUUACUUCUUAAUUUCAAUCUGGAUGCCUUUUAGUUCUUUUUCUUGCCAAAUUGCCAUGGCUAGAAUUGCCAGUUCAAUGGCUGGUAGAGGUAGUGAGAAUGUACAGUCUUAUCUUGCACUUGAUCUUAGUGGGAAAGUAUAUUUCACCAUUAAAUAUGCUGUUAGCUGUAGGAUUUUCAUAGAUGUCCUUUAUAAGGUUAAAGAUGUUCUUUUCUAUUCCUAAUUUGUUGAAGGUUUUUUUUUUUUUUGCGGUACGCGGGCUUCUCACUGUUGUGGCCUCUCCCAUUGUGGAGCACAGGCUCCGGAUGCGCAGGCUCAGUGGCCAUGGCUCACGGGCCCAGCCGCUCCGUGGCAUGUGGGAUCCUCCCGGACCAGGGCACGGAUCCACAUCCCCUGCACCAGCAGGUGGACUCUCAACCACUGCGCCACCAGGGAAGCCCAGUUGAAGGUUUUUUUUGGUUUUGUUUUUCUUUUCUUUUUUCGCCGCACAGCUUGUGGAUUCUUAGUUCCCUGAGCAGGGGUUGAACCCAGGCCCUGGCAGUGAAAGUGUUGAGUCCUAACCACUGGACCGCCAGGGAACUCUUCUGAAGAUUUUUAUUAUGAAUAGAUGUUGGAUCUUGUUAAAUUAUUUUUCUGCAUCUAUUGGGAUGAUUCAUGUUUUUUUUUUUUUUUUUUUUACUUAAAGCCACACCUUUCACUUCUGGCUUCUGCACGUAAGGAGCUUGGAAGUCGCCACUCUGUCCUAACAGGUAAAGAGAUCAACAGAUGGAAAAAUCAACUAUUCUUGGGUCUGUAAGAAAGGGGAGGACACAGAACAAACUGCUGCCUCCAUGAUUGGAGAGACAAACAGGCCAAUAUGGGCAAUCAUGGCUUACAGGAGCAGUGGCUCAUGAGCAGAAACCACUGCAGGAACCAGUGCCAGGGUUGGAAAACAUGAAUUACAAUUGAUGAAUUGCUGGAGGCUCAGUGUGGAUAAACCUGAGAAUUAAGAACUCCAGGGGAACCUGGUCAUAGGGGAGCCCUCACAUUAUUGUGAGAUUUACCUCCAGGAGCUCAACCAGGUUCCUACAGUAAAUAUCAGAGAAAAAUUCUCAUGCUUCUGGUAGAGGGGAGGGAAAAAGAACAAUUUUGAAAUAUACCAGAGCAGUUGGUUUUUCUUAACAAAGUCUGCCCUUAGGGGAGAUUAGUUAUGCAGAGCCUAACUGACCUGGGGAAAGGGAAAUAUCUAACACUAGCCUGCUCUAGCUAUUCUGUCCACCUAAGUGGGGAGAAAAAACUGAGAAACUCUUGUGAAGUUCACAGUCCAUAGGCAUAGGCUCACUAAAAGCCUGAGACCUAAUCAUAGGACUACAGAGCCCUUCUCUUCUCCCCAUACCUCACUACCCCCUUACUAAAAGCCUAUUUACAGCAGUUUUUUUUACCUGGUUCAUCAUGUCUGGCUAUCAAGAAAAAAAUUACAAGGCAUAUCAGAAGGCAAAAAAACCCCCCAAAAAACCAAUUUGAAGGAACACAUCAAGCAAGCAUCAGAGCAAGACAUGGCAGAUGUUAGGAUUAUCAAACUGGGAAUUUAAAACAACUAUGAUUAAUAUGUUAAGGGAUCCAAUGGAUAAAGUAUUUCCAUGCAAGAACAGAUGGGCAGUGUAAGCAGAGAAAUGGAAAUCCUAAGAAAGAACCAAAAAGAAAUGCUAAAGAUAAAAAAUACUGUAACAGUAAUGAAGAAUGCCUCUGGGGACAUCCUGGUGGCUCAGUGGUUAAGAAUCCGCCUCCCAAUGCAGGGGACACAGGUUUGAUCCCUGGUCCGGGAAGAUCCUACAUGCUGCAGAGCAACUAAGCCCAUGCGCCACAACUACUGAGCCUGCGCGCCCUAGAGCCCGUGCUCUGCAAUAAGAGAAGCCACCGCAAUGAGAAGCCCACGCACGGCAAAGAAGAGUAGCCCCUGCUUGCUGCAACUAGAGAAAACCUGUGCGCAGCAACAAAGCCCCAACGUAGCCAAAAAGAAAAAAAAAAAGAAUGCCUUUGGUGGGCUUAUUAGUAGAUGACACAGCUGAGGAAAGAAUCUCUGAGCUAGAAAAUAUAUCAAUAGAAUCCUUGAAAAGCAAAGAGAGCAAAGAUUGAAGAAAGAAACCCAAACAAACCAAUAGCCAAGGUCUGUGGGACAACUGCAAAAGGUAUAACAUACAGUUGACUCUGAACAGCAUGGGUUUGAACUAUGCUGGUUCACUUAUACACAGAUUUCUUUCAAUAGUAAAUACUAUAGUACUAUGUGAUCCAAGUUUGGUUGAAUCUGUAGAUGUGGAACUGCAGAUACAGAGGAACCAUGGAUAUGGAGGAAUUGUGUGUAUGGAGGGCCAACUAUAAUUAUAUAUGGAUUUUCGACUGUGUGGAGGGUUGGUGCCCCUAACCUGUGUUCAAUAUUCAACUGUUAACACACAAUGAGAAUACCAGGAGAGAGAAAGUAACAGAAGAAGUAUUGGAAACAAUAAUGACUGAGAAUUUCUUCAAAUUAAUGCCAGACACCAAACCACAGAUCAAGGGAGCUUAGAGAACUCCAAGCAGGAUAAAAAAAACAAACAAAAAAAAACACAAAAAACUGUAUUGAGGCAUAUAAUAUUCAAUCUACAGAAAGUCAAAGAGAAGGAAAAAAUCCUGAAAGAAGCUAGAGGGAAGAAAACACCUUACCUAUAGAGUAACAAAGAUAAGAAUUACAUCUGACUUCUCCUCAGAAACUGUGCAAGCAAGAAGACUGUGGAGUGUUAAAAAAAAAACCCAGCAACCUAGAAUUCUGUGAAAUUAUCUUUCAAAAGUGAAGGAAACACAAAUAUUUUCCUGGACAAGUGAAAGUUGGAAUUUGUCAUCAGUAGAACUUCCUUGCAAGAAAUGUUAAAAGAAGUUCUUCAGAGAGAAGGAAAAUAAUAUAUGUCAGAAACUUGGAUCUGUAUGAAGUAAUGAAGAACAUCAAAGAAGGAAUAAGUGAAGGAACUGUUGCAUGCAGUUCUGGAAGCUGAGCAGUCCCACAGUCUGCCUCUGCAAGCUGGAGAACGAGGAAAGACAGCAGUAUAAUGCAGUCCAAGUCUGAAGGCCUGAGAACUAGGAGCUCUGAUGGUCGAGGGCAGGAAAAGAUGGACAUCCCAGCUCAAGAAGAGAGAGAGAAUUCUGCCAUCUUUUCCUCUUUUGUUCCAUAUGGCCCCAAACAGAUUGGAUGAUGUCUGCCCAUAUUGAAGUCUUCUCAAACCCUUUAUGGAACAAAGCUGGAUGUGAUUAAAUAAAGUCUGCAUCUAGUUUUUGAUAUGUGAAAAAGAUCAUCUUCAAAAUUAAGGAUUUCCAUGGAAAAGAAUAUUAGAUCCUCUGUCAACUAUCAGACUUCUCCUUCUGCACAGCCCUCUCUUGGUGCUUUUGCUUUUCAAAGUUUUCAGUAGCCGGGCACUUACUCCACUACGGCGGGAUGUCAUAGCCACCACUGGAGACCACUGGUUGGUUCUGGGGUUGUA